Molecule: long non-coding RNA, 1201 nt
Organism: Monopterus albus (swamp eel)
Lineage: Eukaryota; Metazoa; Chordata; Actinopteri; Synbranchiformes; Synbranchidae
Exons: 3
Source: RefSeq, a predicted model, not a curated record
GAGAAUUGAGGACAGGGUCAUGGAUGCCCACGGCUCACUGGUGCUGAGGUUGACGUACUGUAGAGCUUUUACAGAUCUUUACGACCUGAGUACAUCAACUCGGAACUUGGGAGGCACAUGGCCCAGUGAAGAAGACAAUCCAAAGCAUUGUGGGCUCACACUAGAAACGUCCAGAUGCAGAGGGACGACAUCAGCAGUAUGGCCUUCUCUUCGAACUUCCCACCAGUAAUUCAGAGAUGGCCAUUAUUUCAACAUGUGCUCCCCCGCAUGUCGUACUCCUGUUCCAGGUUCAGUGUCUCUGAGGCAGUCAGAUGCUGCAGCUCAGGAUGCUUCAUCCAUUCAUGAUACCUGCAGAGUGUAAACAGGUGGAUAAGAGACAGCGACUCCAGGUUUCUACAGCUUUAACUUAAUCAUGUAUCCAGAUGCCAAAGGACCAGAGCUGGUUCUGCUGUGCCAGUUAAAGAGACUUCAAACUGUCAAAGGAUCAGAAGCUUGUAUUGACAGCUGGGUCAGAUGUGUCAUCUGUCCUAAGUUAUAGAUAAAAAGCUUUCACAUGCUCCAUGACAAAUGAGACUGUAUGAUACGACGGAAAGCUCCAGAAAAGCUACUAAAUGGAACUUGUGAUGAGAUUUUCUCAACAUUAUUAUUUAGAAGUCAAAAUAAAACCCAUCCACCUUGAUAGUAAAGAAAUAACUUUCAAACACUCAUCACUAAAGAUAUCAGCAGAGGAAAAUAAAAUAAAAAAGUGACAGGCUUCAUGUGUGUAACAAGACUGAUCAGGUGUAAAUGUUACCUGGGCACAUGGUUUACAUUGUAAGGAACCAGACACAAACACCAAUAGGACCGAUUAUAACAAUAACCUAAAUUCAACCCUUGUACGUCCCAUCAAUAUAUUAUAACAGCUGGAUACCGAAUGACAAGAUGGAAAUCAUUCUUCCCACUGAUGUAUUAAGGGGAAAAGGCAGGAUUUUUCAAUGUUUGUACUGCGAGAACAUUUUUUCAUAACGUUAAUAUAAUUUCCCCAGUGAAUGUUUUUCACCUGGCGCACACGGCAAAUUUGUUUUUCUUCCAACGUUGCUUCCACGUUCUGGGGUCCACUGUACAUGCGCAUCAAUAGGCUAGAAUAUAUUGGUUGCUAUUCAAGAAGACAUUCGUUUCAUAGUCACAUGAGACUGCUGUACCAAAGCCAGUGAUGUUAACC